This 136-nucleotide microRNA precursor is filed under the name Hordeum vulgare. RNAcentral's name for it is "microRNA MIR1122". It matches the Rfam family "MIR1120/MIR1122 microRNA precursor family". Lineage: Eukaryota; Viridiplantae; Streptophyta; Magnoliopsida; Poales; Poaceae. The record is from RNAcentral.
UUUCUACUCCCUCUGUCCCAAAAUUCUUGUCUUAGAUUUGUUUAGAUAUGAAUGUAUCUAGUCAAGUUUUAGUAUUUAGAUACAUCCAUUUUUAGGCAAAGCUAAGACAAGAAUUCUCGGACGGAGGAAGUAUAUG